RNAcentral lists this transfer RNA (73 nucleotides) under Sceloporus grammicus (Graphic spiny lizard). Its description in RNAcentral is "tRNA-Ile". It matches the Rfam family "tRNA". Rfam says of the family: Transfer RNA (tRNA) molecules are approximately 80 nucleotides in length. Their secondary structure includes four short double-helical elements and three loops (D, anti-codon, and T loops). Lineage: Eukaryota; Metazoa; Chordata; Lepidosauria; Squamata; Phrynosomatidae. The record is from RNAcentral.
GGAUGUGUGCCCGAAUGCCUUAAGGAUUACUUUGAUAGAGUAAACAAUAUGGGUUAAAGUCCCAUCACCUCCU